AACAUAAUAAAAUCUAUGUUACGGCCAUAGAAUAGAUGACGUAGUCAUCAUAUGUUU
RNAcentral lists this transfer RNA (57 nucleotides) under Caulobothrium sp. LRP 10376. RNAcentral's name for it is "tRNA-Arg". Lineage: Eukaryota; Metazoa; Platyhelminthes; Cestoda; Tetraphyllidea. The record is from RNAcentral.